UCUAGCUUGGCAGAUUAAUUGUAUCAAAUUUAGAAUUUGAAGAUGACUAGUGUCAGUUAGGA
Molecule: transfer RNA, 62 nt
Filed under: Ornithodoros costalis
Lineage: Eukaryota; Metazoa; Arthropoda; Arachnida; Ixodida; Argasidae
Description: tRNA-Leu
Source: RNAcentral